AAAUUAAUCUCCCCGUGAAGAAGCGGGGAUACUCAUAUAAGACGAGAAGACCCCAUGGAGCUUCAAACCCAACUACACCCCUAGCUCUUAUAGCCCCACAACCCCCCUAGGCACCGUGUGCUUGGUUUUAGGUUGGGGCGACCGCGGAGUACAAUAAAACCUCCACAAUGAAUGGGAACACCCCCUUAUCUGAGGGCCACACCCCCUAAGAAUUAGAACACUAACAUAAAAUGAUCCAUUACUUGAUCAAUGAACCAAGUUACCCUGGGGAUAACAGCGCAAUCCAUUUCAAGAGCCCCUAUCGACAAAUGGGUUUACGACCUCGAUGUUGGAUCAGGGUACCCCAGUGGUGCAGCAGCUACUAACGGUUCGUUUGUUCAACGAUUAAAACCCU
This 394-nucleotide ribosomal RNA is filed under the name Mantidactylus melanopleura. RNAcentral describes it as "partial 16S ribosomal RNA". It matches the Rfam family "Bacterial large subunit ribosomal RNA", at positions 2039 to 2597 of the family's 2925-position model. The record is from RNAcentral. Lineage: Eukaryota; Metazoa; Chordata; Amphibia; Anura; Mantellidae.